RNAcentral lists this long non-coding RNA (889 nucleotides) under Manihot esculenta (cassava). Its description in RNAcentral is "long non-coding RNA (MESC_LNC001300)". The record is from RNAcentral. Lineage: Eukaryota; Viridiplantae; Streptophyta; Magnoliopsida; Malpighiales; Euphorbiaceae.
AUGUAGGAUGCUUUGCAUUAGUAUUCAUCAAGUUGAUGCAUUGCAUUAUUACUUGUAUAUGUGGAUUGGACCGAGGCGAUCUCAAUAGCCCAUAAGUCUGUCCUUAUUGUAUGUCCUGUGUGAGCUCCUUUGGGGCCGAGCAUUUACCUUGGAUGAGUCCUGUGAGAGCCCUUAUAGGGUCGGGCACCAUGAGUAGUUAGUGAAAGACCUGUGUGAGCUCCUUUGGGAGCCGGGCACUGACAGAGGGAGUUUUGGGAUCAUGUCCAAUCCGAGAUGUGAAAUGUUUGUGCAGUGAUGCAUCAUAUGAUAGCAUGUUUUAAAUGUGAUUUUUAUAGAUUCCGCUCACUGGGCUUUAGCAGCUCAUCCCUCUCCCUAACCCCAUUUUUCAGGGCCUCAGAGAAGAGAAAGAGAAAAAGAUAGCAAGGAUAAAAGACAUAUGUAAUAGUAUAGUAUAGAAUAGUGGACAUGAAAGAUGUACAGUACAGAGUUUAUGUAAUGUAUAGAAAUGAUGUAAAAGCAAGUUAUAUAGUGAAUUAGAGUAUUGUGCUUGGCCCUAGUGCUUGUUAUUCCUUUGUACAUGAUCCUUUUAUGUUAUAUAUGUUUGAGACAAUGUUGUGAUGAGAGCUAGGCUUGGUGCAUGGUAGUAUUUCUAUCUCUGUAGUUACUGUAUGGUACCAUAGCAGGUAUCACUCUUCGAGUGCAUACAGACAGAGCAUGCAUAGUCCAGGCUUAGUUGAUGAGAAAAGUUUCAAGAAAAGAAAAGAUAGUCAAGCAAAGAAAGAAAAAAAAAAAUAAUAGAGAAGAGUAAGUAACAGUUUUAAGUUUAAGUGUGAUCAUGUAUGGGAUUUAUCAGGUACACAGAGUUGACAGUAGGCUUACUACGGGUCCC